AAAGCUAUCCACAUCAGCAAAAAAAUUCAACCAAUUAAAUGUUUCUAUUUUGCCACGUUACAUCUUCUUUGUCGACAUGGAUCAAAUGUUUUGGUCUUCUAAAAUUUGGUUUCGGCCCAUUUAAAAACCAUGUUACACUUUCCGACAAAACCCACGCUUUCCCUUUUCAGUCAAUAGUCUCUUACGAUUCCUCUUUGUAGCCAUUGUUCUAUUCUUUCCGAAUCUCCGUUACUUGCAGUAACUAUCCACUCUAAAAUCAUUGCUUUUGCUCUUUACACCUUCUUACAAGAUGUAUCUUUCACCUCCUUUUGUUUUCCUCCUGUAUGAUCUAUUUCUCGAUUCUUAUUGUAUACCGUAAUCUACGAUUUUUUCAGUCGAAGAUCAAGCUGUAUCCAUGAGAUCUGCUAAGUCCUCCGGAAAGUUUUAUGUCGCUGUGUAUUUCACCAACAUCUCCUCGGGUACAGCGGAAUCUGAACUAGGCUUCCGGUUAAUCCGUUUCUGGGAGACGAUAAGCACAGCUAAAGGUGGUUUGCUUAUUGGCUUGGAGCUUCUCCUUACAGGCAAGCAGAAAUGGCUACGCACAACUCGAAAUCUACCGCAUCAAUAUUUUUCUCCCGUUCUUAGUGGUUUCGCAGCUGCGGUUUGGACAUAGCUGCAACAGUUAUCUUCUUUAAAAAAAAACAGCUGUGAUCAAGUCAAUUUUUCCAGGCAUCCAGAUGAUUAUUAAGAAAAAAAAUUGUUUGAGCUGGAAUCUGAAGUUUGUGUCCUGGAAAGCCUCUGGCAGCUGAAACUGGGGUAAAAUUCUGUAUUCUUUUAUCUUUAACUUGGAUGGGAGGUAUUAUUUUGUUGUUCAAAGAGUUGAAUCCAAACAGCCUUUAGGAGAAGAAGCAAAAAUUUACCUGAGAAAAGUUAUACAAGAGCUUUAUGUGUAGGUUUUUUUCUUAAAUACGUAGGUGAAACUCUGAACACCUUGCUCCUGCAAAAAGUCGCAUUUGAAUCUGUAAGUUGUGUACGCCUUGGUCCUGUUUAGUCUUUGCAUGUUUAAGAAAUUCAAACUGGCUUGAAGUUGACUGUUUACAGUCUCUUUAACCGCUGUAGUUAGUGUGAAGGUUUGUUGCUGAGUUUAUUGCAUAGAUCCAUUUUCAUGUGUGGAUUGUUUCAACAAACCAUCAUUAAGACUCUGUCUUGGCUACCCGCAAAUAGAUUGAGAAUUCACUUACAAACUCAAAGGAACAGCAAUGCUCUCUAUUCAGAGAUCAUGUUGAGAGAUCCCAGAGCUUUUUACACAGAUUUCUAUCAUGCUCGCUGGAACUGGAAGCACUGCUCUUUUCACUGUGAUUUGUAGCUUUGCUUCAAGGCGUGUACCCUUUUGCGCAAACAAGUUCUUCAAGACUGUACUUGGUUUCAGUUUGGUCAUACUGCUUUGGGCUGUGGAUAGACUCGGGAGGUGAUUACUUAGCGCAUACUUCUUCCAUGGGAAGACAUUCUGAUGUUUGAUUGUGUUCUUGCGAUCAAUGAGCCUUACUUAAUCAGCAGCUCCUGCUGGUUGUGGCUUCUAAGUUGGCAACAAGAACAAGAGUAAUCUCAGAGGAAGCAAAAGGCACGACCAAGUACUUUAUAUUCUUAUAAGAAACAUCUUUGCUCCUAUGUAAACUAUAUAUGUUUCUCCAAUGACAUGAAGAAUAUAUAAAUUGGUUUUUGUUUGUGUGAUCAGGAACAAACAAAAAUUUUGAAUAUAAAGCAUGUUACAGAAGACUUA
Brassica napus (rape) is the source of this 1759-nucleotide long non-coding RNA. RefSeq lists it as uncharacterized. Lineage: Eukaryota; Viridiplantae; Streptophyta; Magnoliopsida; Brassicales; Brassicaceae. The transcript has 4 exons. The record is from RefSeq and is a predicted model, not a curated record.